RNAcentral lists this ribosomal RNA (33 nucleotides) under Anopheles aconitus. RNAcentral's name for it is "partial 28S ribosomal RNA". The record is from RNAcentral. Lineage: Eukaryota; Metazoa; Arthropoda; Insecta; Diptera; Culicidae.
AGGCCUCAAGUGAUGUGUGACAACCCCCUGAUU